Molecule: ribosomal RNA, 470 nt
Filed under: Certesia quadrinucleata
Lineage: Eukaryota; Ciliophora; Spirotrichea; Euplotida; Certesiidae
Description: eukaryotic LSU rRNA
Rfam family: 5.8S ribosomal RNA (bases 107-251)
Source: RNAcentral
CUGCGGAAGGAUCAUUCACACAAUCCAAAAAACCCUACGUUGAGGUUUCGGCCUCGAUGUAAUAACUUAUUUGAAAAGAACUUACUUAAGUCAUUCACUAAUUCUAAAUUUUCAACGGUGGAUGUCUUGGCUCCCGUCCCGAUGAAGAACGCAGCGAAGUGCGAUAAGCAUUGCGAAUUGCAGACCUUGAGUCAUUAGAUUUUCGAACGUCCAUUGCGCCGUCCUCGGGCGGCACGCUCGCUCCAGUGUCUCUUUAAUCACUGACCAAACAAUUAAUGCGAUUGAGUCUCCAGCUCUCUCGUCAAAAGUGAAAGCACGCUGUUUCUACGGGUGGAUUUAUCCACGCUCAUUGCAGCCGUCACCUCGUGUGAACUCAAUGAGAGUAGAAGCAGGCAGUUUCUGCGAGUGCUUAGAGAAUUUAACUCUACCUGAAUCUGGUGUCGAGUGAGGUUACCCGCUGAACUUAAGAU